This 207-nucleotide unclassified non-coding RNA is filed under the name Schizosaccharomyces pombe (fission yeast). RNAcentral's name for it is "non-coding RNA (predicted)". Lineage: Eukaryota; Fungi; Ascomycota; Schizosaccharomycetes; Schizosaccharomycetales; Schizosaccharomycetaceae. The record is from RNAcentral.
ACCUUGCAAAGGCUUGUAAGGUGAGCUAAGUUCCGCUUCCGUCUACGGUUCUUACCGUUCUUCUCCUCGUUUCCGUGCGAUGCGGUACCGUGUAAAGGCAUACCCCGUCUUUUUCUAUAACUAUUUUAACGAAACUUGUUGAAGCUUAAUCCUCACGAGUUUUCCGUUUGGGUAUUUCGUGUGGUUUCGGAUGUUUCAAAAGUUUGG